Molecule: long non-coding RNA, 667 nt
Filed under: Heterocephalus glaber (naked mole-rat)
Lineage: Eukaryota; Metazoa; Chordata; Mammalia; Rodentia; Bathyergidae
Description: lncRNA (ENSHGLG00100049115.1)
Source: RNAcentral
GUAGAAAGUGCCCAAGAACUGGCCGGAAGACAUUUGAGUGGAUUAUCCCCAGGUCCUUGAGUCUGCAGAGUUCCUUAAAUUUCUGAUAAAACAAUCUGCUUUCUCCCUCUGCCAGAGCAAAGCAACCUCUCCUUGCCUGUAGACAAUGUGAAGACCUACCUCAGUUCAGGGCUUCACAGUGUUUUCCUGUCUUCAAGCUCUACCUCCACCACCCCCCUCAAUGCCUCCACACCAACAUCCGGGAUCACAGUUUAGCACUGUCCAGAGAAAGACUAUCUUGGCCUCAGGAAAAAACCCCAGCAGUUUCCCCAGAGAAUUGCAGAACUUGACUAAUAUCACUAGGACAAUCGGCUGGCAUGGACAUAGGAGGACCUCUAAAGACAUUGUGGCUCAUCUGGAAAGGACCUGGACGAAGAAACUGAGCUCUCAAUUCAAAGACCACACAGCUUGCUAUCUUUUUUGCACAUCUCUAAGUAAAAGAAGAGGACGCAAAAGGAUGCUUUCUUGAGUGAAUUGGUGCAGGGCCUGUGCUACAACAUAGAAGGUCCAGUGCACAGAAAGAAGCCCUCCUGGGAAAGAUAUUUCUUUAAUCCAAAUAUUUUAUAAAUUCUGUAAAGACAUUAUAACUGAGCAUUAGAAACUCUUACAUGUGACACACAGAAUUCUC